GGAUGUGAGGAUGAUCUGCCUGGACACCGGGCAUCCCACUGAUCUCCAGUGCUGACUCGGCUGCUCUGCCUGGCCAGAUGGGUGUCCCCUUCCUCCCUCACUGCUCCAUGUACAUCCCUCUCGAAGUUGUAUGCUCACUCAGUCAGAGAGGGUGACCACUCUCAAUAGAGGAGGACCGUCUCCUCAGCAAGGGUAUAGGAGGAGCUGUGCUCCCCUGCUAGAACUCCACACAAGCUCUCUAGGGACUGAAACGGCACAGACACAAAGGGUACAGGAAGCUGUGUCCUAGGUGCCUAAAAACACACUGCU
This 309-nucleotide small nuclear RNA is filed under the name Chinchilla lanigera (long-tailed chinchilla). RNAcentral's name for it is "7SK RNA (ENSCLAG00000022199.1)". It matches the Rfam family "7SK RNA". From Rfam's summary of the family: 7SK was discovered as an abundant small nuclear RNA in the mid-70s but a possible function has only recently been suggested. Two independent studies have found that 7SK RNA binds the CDK9/cyclin T complex (known as elongation factor P-TEFb). P-TEFb activates transcription by phosphorylating the C-terminal domain of RNA polymerase II. The record is from RNAcentral. Lineage: Eukaryota; Metazoa; Chordata; Mammalia; Rodentia; Chinchillidae.